Molecule: ribosomal RNA, 305 nt
Filed under: uncultured bacterium
Lineage: Bacteria
Description: bacterial SSU rRNA
Rfam family: Bacterial small subunit ribosomal RNA
Source: RNAcentral
CCCCUACGGGGGGCAGCAGUGGGGGAUAUUGCACAAUGGGGGAAACCCUGAUGCAGCGACGCCGCGUGGGUGAAGAAGCGCCUCGGCGCGUAAAGCCCUGUCAGCAGGGAAGAAAAUGACGGUACCCAAAGAGGAAGCUCCGGCUAACUACGUGCCAGCAGCCGCGGUAAUACGUAGGGAGCAAGCGUUGUCCGGAAUUGCUGGGUGUAAAGGGAGCGUAGGCGGGAUGGCAAGUAGAAUGUUAAAUCCAUCGGCUCAACCGGUGGCUGCGUUCUAAACUGCCGUUCUUGAGUGAAGUAGAGGCG